RNAcentral lists this long non-coding RNA (6935 nucleotides) under Sus scrofa (pig). Its description in RNAcentral is "lncRNA (ENSSSCG00000063538.1)". Lineage: Eukaryota; Metazoa; Chordata; Mammalia; Artiodactyla; Suidae. The record is from RNAcentral.
UCCUAGACAUGCUUAUUUUGGUGUGACCAUACGUCUAGAGGAAAAAGUCAACUGAGGUGGUUUUCUGUGUGAUGUUGCCUCCUUGUGUCUGAAAACCAGGGGCUUUUCUAUUCAGACUGGGAACUGUGGUGUACCUUGUUAGGUCACUUUGAGCACAGUAAUUUUGGUAUUUCAUGUAUCUGUAAAUGGAAAAUGUCUCAUGUUCUUCUGAAACCCAGGACUUGGCAUCUUUCACACAUGCCCUUUCAACACUAAUAUGACUCAAUCUGAUUUAUUCACAUUUUGGAGAUGGCCUGUUCCCGUGCCCCAGGAUGAAAGGUCUUUAAAGACACUUAAAAGCAGAGGGAUACAAACUUGCUGAAUAAAAAAACCAGCAGCUAGAAAUGGGUUCCUCAGCUUCAGAACAAGCCCCACAUCCCUGGUUUAGAGAAGAGCACAAUGAAAAACUGUCUUUUAGCUUGGGGUCAUUUGGAGACAGGCUGAGAGAGACAGAAGUAAUGGUAAUUUACGAGACUGAUUAAGCUCUUAUUAACUUUGACUUGAAAGAGGAAGAUGAAAUCUAACACAAAAAACGUUUCCAAGGAACUGACCCCAAAGGACAGCAUCAAGUCCAGCAAACACCACACUGUUUAGAGUCUGAGUUUGGAAGAAGAGCCAUUUCGACUUAAUAAAAAGAAUAUUUAUCUCUCCAAGGAGCUGCCUUCGGGGGAUAUAAAGUUUCUUGUCACUGGAAGAACAGAGAAUCACCUGGGAAGCCUGCGUUAGAGAAGGAUGCAAGCGUUAGAUGUGAGCUGUAUUUCAACUCAAGGGUCCUUUAACCAUUAGAGUCAGAGGUUCUGUGGUUCUGCAGAUGGGAAUAAGCAGGAUCUUCUCUGAUGCUCAGGUAUUUCCUGUGUCUCAGUCAGAUGGGAUUAGAAACCACGCAGACGGCCUAUGAGAUGAUAUCAACCACCGAGACGAUGGGAUCUCUGACUGUUCCUCUUUUUCUCUCACUUCUAUUUUUCGCUCUCUGUUCAAAUUCUCUUAUAAUAGGAAGAAGUCAGUUAUUGCUCACCAGGGACUGAGUGGUCAAUCACUUUUCCAGUGGUUUCUCUGAUUCACUGAUGGCUGUGCUAUAGAAGGAAAAUAAUUAAGGGGGGGGGAGAACCUCAGCAAGAUCUCUAUACACCUCCACCCUGAGAACACAUGAUAUGGAAAGCCCAUUUCGUGAAGUAACUGAGAUUUCCAGGGCUGCCAAUCUGGCAGGCCUUCAACAUUUAAACAAAAAUUUAAAAAGGGGAAAAAUACCCCCUCUGCCAAGUAUCCCUGUAUUGUCAAUAAAAUCAAAUGAACUGCUUUUUCUGAAUAUUGGUCCCCAAGGAGAAGAGCGUGCUGAUUGCCUGAGACGUAUCACUUUUUUUUUUUUAACUGCUUUAUUCCAGGUAUUUUUCACUCUUAAAUAUUUUAUUAAGAACGAUCAAAUAUUUUCUAUUAAAAAGCUGACCUUUGGGCGAAGUUAGUCAUUAAUAUUUUAGACUACAUGGAUUGUGGCAACUUUGGAGCAGGGUUUUUUUUUUUUUUUCCCCUGCUACCAUGCCUAGAGGCCCAAUAAAAGCAAAUCAGAGUAUUAUAUAUAUUAGUACUAUGUUGUUGGAAUACAGUUUUUCCUGCUUUUGGACUUUGAUGUUAUAUUAUAUAUUUUCCAAGAAACAUUGACAUAAAACGCAGUCUGGAAUAUUGACAAUGAAAGUGAAACAAGAAAAACAAAAACUCAGCUUUCAUAUGAAAAGGAACCAAAGUAUGGUUAUCAGUGAAAAGUAGUUAGCGCUAUAAAAAGGCAAAAGGGAUCAGAAAUACAAGCCAUCGUCCAAAACAUACAGAGGAGAAGGUGUUUCUAAUGGGCAUUUAAUGAGGAAUAAGUUGCUGAAACUCCAGUUAUUGCAGUGUUGGCUGGAAGGAAAUGAAAAUGUGGCACAAAAAAUAAAAUAACUUUUGAUUAACUAUAAUUGCAAAAUCAGAUUAAAAGCUGAAACUGAUUAUAAACAGAAUGGAUAAAAUAACCAAGUUCGAAAGAUCUUGGAGACUUCAUAUGCGUGACGGCUGGUCACAAGUGUCAAGAAGAAUUGAGGGGACCUCAUGUCUCUCUGGCAAGGAUAGUUGUGUCUGCAGCCUUCUCCAGGUAAUCAAGGGGAACUCAGACCCACAAACUCUGGAGGGCGCAGUUUGCUUUGUGAAUGACCGCAUCUGAAGAGGUUGAUGUGAUGCAAAUUAUGUGAUUCUCAUGGUACAAACCUUUCUUGAAUUACAAUUUGAUGUACAAAAUAUGAGCUUACAAGUAUUUCCAUUGCAUUAGAGUUAUCGAAAUACGGAGGUGUUUGGAAAUACAUCCAUCACUCUUUCCCUAUUAGACUUUACAUAAAAAGUUUGUUGAUCCACUUCGGGGAUGGAGUAAGCGUGGCAAGAUGGUGGAUGGCAGCACAACAUCAGGAUUUGGUGUAACUGCUGUGUCUUAUAUAGUGUAAAUCUACCGGACAGAACCACUUCCUUCUUCUUCUUCUUUUUUCUGUUCAUUGUGUUGAUGUGUCCCCAGUAUGUAGAACAAUGUUCAGCAGAGAGCAGGUGUUUAAAAAAAUCAUUUUUGACUGAAUAUAGUAAAGAAUGUUUUGGGAUAUAGUCUUGGUUUAGUCACAGCUUCAAGAUGCUCAGACUUCAUUCUUGAGGUCACCUAAGGCAGCCUUACUUCCUCUCUGGUCAGACAGAAUCAGGUUUGUAUCCAAACUUGAUGGCUUAAUUGUUGGGUACAAGCACGGUUAUUUGGGUUUAGUUCUGAGGGGUUUUUUUGGGUAAUCCUCCUCUGUAUCUAGGGUUGAAUCUAGAUAUGUGAUCAACUCAGUUUAAUAAGAUUGACAGACAGAUUGAUAAAUAUUUGUUUCUCUGCUUCCUCUUGCAGACUUGAUGAUAUGUCUGCUUAAUGUGCCCCUGUUGAUAGUUGCAAAAUUUCUAGACGAACUAUGAAAGAGUGACGUCGGUGAGAUGGGGCAAAUCCUCAUUUGUUUUAACAAAAGGCAUUAUUCCCAAGUGCCAUAGUAAUGAGUUUCCCAACAACAAAUAGGGCAUUCAGGUUCCAGCCUGGAAAACAAGUAGUGAUUCCUUUAUUAGAAAGUUCCAUGAAAUAUAUUUCUUUUGUCUCUAUUUUAUUUGCCUUUGUUUAACAGGCAGCUUUCACAUAUCAGAAAAAUGGACUUGUUUCUUAAAGCCUGCCUAACCACCACCAUCUGAGACGAGUAAAUCUCUCAUUCUAGAUCGUAUUCUCAUUCCUUGUAGCCGCCUGUUGCUGUCACUCCGUCUUACAUGAUUGGAAAUGACCACCGCGCAUGUGUAAAAUUGCUGCUGGGCGCUUCCCAAUGUCUCUUCCAUAUUGUGCUACAAUUACUUUUGGCAUCUAGAAGCAAAAUUUGCCUCUCAAUCCAAACUUAACAUUUUUUCAUCCUCUGCCUUUGAAACAACAUAUCUGCAGAUUGUUUGCACUUGUCUGGGGUUCUGGGGGUUCCCUGGAGUUUUCCAAUGUCAUUUUUCUCCUAAGCUUCCUGUGGAAGUUACUGUUCUGUUUCUGUUUCAUCUCUCCCACUUUUUUUUUUUUUUUGGCUUUAUAGUUUCAUAAGGAAUUGUCCAUUUUACCGCUGCAGGCCUUCUGUGUACUUUAGUCUCUAAGCAGUGCUGGUCAUUGUCUCUUAUUCCAAAAUCAAAUGUCUUUGAGCUCUAAUCCUGUCGACAUCUGCCAUCUAGGUAGCAUUGGGCUUGUGUGUGGAAAUGGUAUGAGGAUUCAGUGUUGGCUGUUACAGGUGAACAACUACAGGGUUGGAUUUUGCACAUUUCAUCCCAGUGCUGGGGGAUCUUCUGGACCCUGGCUUUGUCUUUGGAUGAUGUCAGAACUGGGGGCCAGGUUCCGACUUCCUCAAGGUCUAGCGUGUGCUUCGAGGGUGGGAGGGGCCACACUGGCCCAGGAGAAGACAGAACUGUGUCUCUUCUCUGGUGAAAACAUUGCAAGAAAUCCAUCUGGCAGUGAGGAUAAAAGACACCCCCCAUGUUGGCCUCUGCUGAGCUCAGAAAUGUGCCUCCCUCGCUGUGAUUUUCAGUGCCCCUCAUUGCCAAGCUCGCAUAUCUUAUGCUACACGGUUCCCUGCCUAGAACACCCUUCCGUAUUCCUUUUGCUCAUUUUGCAUAGUUGCUAUUUAUUCUUUAGGUCAUUUAUUCUUUAGGUCUCCUUUUAGAGUUUAUGUCUCCUAAGAUGUGAUCUCUGAUGCAUAAAUCCAGCCAACGUGGCCCUUAUAUGAUCAUAGAACUUCCUGCAUGCUGUCAAAGGUUUUUCAUCAGGUAUUAGUCACAUGGUUAUUUUUCAGUGUCUGUUAUGUUCAUUGUUGCAGCCCCAACAUCUAACAGAAGUGCUAAUUAGUAUUUUUCAGUCAUUGCAUAACUUUCCUUCAUCUAACCCUUUACCAGGUGUUAAUGCUACACAGACAUUUUUACUGAACUAGGCAGCUUUAUCUUAUUACACUCUCACUACAAUCCAUGAGGUGGGUAUUCUCUUUAUUUAAUGGCUGAUGAAAUUGGGGCUUGAAGCUAAAUAUUCUCCUCAUAUUGCUAUUAAAUGGCCCCGACUGGAAUUUGAAUCUGGGUUUGUCUACUUCCAAAUCCUAUUAUCUUAAUUGUACUGGUAGACAGAGCAAUUUCUUUAGAUCCUAGGUGACAAGUUACCUUUCUUUAAGUCUAGUUCAACUACAUCGUAAUGGGGUUGUACUUGCAUACUUGCUGUAUUAGUUUGCUGUUGUAACAGAUCGCCACAAACAUAGUAGCUUAAGAUGAUACAACUUUGCUUCCUUUCAGUAUGCUAGAAGUCCAAUGUCAGUCUUACUGGGCUAAAGCCAGGGACUUCCUUCCUUCUGGAGGCUUUUGGAGGGAGUCUGCUUCCUUGUUUUUUCCAGCCUCUAGAAGACGCUCAAACUCCUUGACUCAUGGCCUUUUUCUUCCUUUAUCUUCAAACCUAAGAAGAUAGGUUGAUGCUCUUUCCCUUAUCACAUCUCCCGGUGAUGACUUCGUCUGUGUCUCUAUUCCACUGGUAAGGAUGCUUAUGUAGAUAAUCCAGGACUAUCUCUAUUUUAAGGCUAGCUGAUUAGCAGCCUUAAUUCCAUCCACUGUAUUAAUUGCCUUUGCCAUGUAACCUAACAGAGUCACAGGUUCCAGGGGAUUAAAAGGUGAACAUCUUGGAGGUGGUGGGAUCAUCAUUCUACCUACCACACAUGCACACAACAAAUAUGCUUUGCUGCCUUUACUGAAGGUAAAGAAUGCUGUCACGAAGACGGCAGAGACAGGGGUGGGCUGGUGACCCCAACAAGCUUUAGAGGAACAAAUAUCUGAAUGAAACCCUCGGUUUGAAUUUUCGGUGUCUCCACUGUUGAUCAUCCUCUGGGAACUGACAGCCAACACCAUUUACAAGAACCGAAUGAGUACAUUGGAAUGCAAACGCAUUAUUUUGCAAUAGGAAGCUUUGCAAAUGGGUACAGUCAUCCACCAUCCACGGGCUCUCUCCCAUGGAAGUGAAAUUAAAUUUAAAACGUUAACUGGUAGAUAUCUCAAGCACUCUUUCUCCUGGCAAGGACACUUACAUUCAAUGAUCCUUGCCUUUAAAAAUUAUGUUGCCCUAAUGGACGAAGGGCUGGCCAUCUUCCUCCUUUGGCCUGUAGUAUGAUGACACCUGCUAAGAGCUCAGGAUCUGUCACAUUUCUGUCCCAUGAAAUGUCAUUUCUUCUGCUCAUAUUUUUUAAAUUUUAUUUUAUGUUUAUUAGAGUAUAGUUGAUUUACAUACACUAUUGUGUCAAUUCCUGGUGUAUAGCGACCCAGUCAUACAUAUAUUUAUACAUUUUUUUUCUCAUACUAUCUUCCAACAUGUUCUGUCCCAAGAGACUGUAUCUAGUUCCCCAUGCUGUUCGGUAGAAUCUCAUUGUUUAUCCACUCUAAAUGGAACAGUUUGCAUCUUCCAGCCGCAAACUGCCCGUCCAUGUCCAUCCCACUGCCUCCCUGCCGCCCCCUUAGCAACCACAAGUCUAUUCUCUAUGUCUGUGAGUCUGUUUCUGUUCUGUGUAUAAGUUCAUUUGUGCCAUAUUUUAGAUUCCACGUAUAAGUGCCAUCACAUGGUGUGUGUCUUUUGGAUACUGAGUUGAUUCCCUGAUUCCCACCCCCUGCUUUGGCCACUUUUUGAGAUAGCCCUUCUCCGAUGACUUCCAUAUGGAUACUGUCAUCAGGCAUUUGCUAUUUCUGGUUUAACUUUUAGAGAGAAAAUUACCUUUCUCUUCCCAGGGGCCAUUUCCUGUAUUGAGUCUUUCCUUUGACAUCCAACUGGCUGUAGGGAUUAUAUGCUUUUAAUAACCACUUUCCAUCAAGCACCCAUGGCAUCCUACGUACAGAGCACCCCAGCAUACUUCUCUUUUCUCCAAUUUAUCAGGGAAGCCUAUUACAUUUCCCUGAAUUUGCCUUGAGCAUUCACUGCUGGCUGAUUCCUUACAUUUUCGCACUAUAUUCUGAAGAUUAGUGUGAAUUCCUGUCUCAUUCUCCAGGCCUUUCUAAUCUGAGAUACCGGCUUUUUUUUUUUUUUUUUUUUAAACCUAGGAACCUCUGUGGAAAAACCUUUUUCUGCUUAUUCCCCCAAAUGUAAAUCACAUCUCUUUGAAUCCUUCUGACAAUUUUCACCACCAUUUUAAUAGACUGAUGUGAAUUUAUAUUCUCACGGAAACGAAUCCGACUAGGAACCGUGGCCUUGCUCAGUGGGUUGGGGAUCCGGUGUUGCCGUGAGUGGUGGUGUAGGUUGCAGACACGGCUCGGAUCUGGCGUUGCUGUGGCUGUGGCGUAGGCUGGUGGCUGUAGCUCUGAUUAGACCCCUAGCCUGGGAACCUCCAUAUGCC